Molecule: long non-coding RNA, 467 nt
Organism: Etheostoma cragini (Arkansas darter)
Lineage: Eukaryota; Metazoa; Chordata; Actinopteri; Perciformes; Percidae
Exons: 3
Source: RefSeq, a predicted model, not a curated record
AACUUUUGCAAGUUCCCGCAAUUUCAUCGCAUGCAUAAAAUUGCAUAGAUAUCCCGCAUAUAUCGCAUUUUUUUAAGAAAACGUGCUGCAUAAUCAAGAAUUUUUGCCCACAACAAUCAUAACAAAACUUAUUUUUCUGGAAAGACUGACUAAUACUAUUAUGGUGCACUUUAAAGCUGCUCAUAAAGUUCCUUAAAGGGCCAACCUUGCUGUACUGUAUGAUUUUUAUGAAUAUUCCGAGAUUCAUCAGGUAACAAUGCAUCUGAUUGCAAAGCAUGAGAUGCAUACCUACCUCAACAGGGCAUGUGUGAACCCCCCCGACUUAUCUUACCCAGUCUAGUAAUCAGGAGUGACUGAGAAACUAUACUAAUACAUUAUUUGCACGUGCAUUAAUUGAUGAAUUAGAGGCGGAGGAUCAUUCUCCAACCUGUCUCUGUCCUUGCUGAAAAUGUCCCAGACCAACAUCG